UACAGAGGUCUCAAGCGUUGUUCGGAUUCAUUGGGCGUAAAGGGUGCGUAGGUGGCGCCGUAAGUCAGGUGUGAAAUCUCGGGGCUCAACCCCGAAACUGCACUUGAUACUGCGGUGCUCGAGUACUGGAGAGGAGAUUGGAAUUUACGGUGUAGCAGUGAAAUGCGUAGAUAUCUGGAGGAACACCGGUGGCGAAGGCGGCAUUCUGGACCGAAACUGACGCUGAUGCGCGAAAGCCAGGGGAGCAAACGGG
Molecule: ribosomal RNA, 253 nt
Filed under: uncultured bacterium
Lineage: Bacteria
Description: partial 16S ribosomal RNA
Rfam family: Bacterial small subunit ribosomal RNA
Source: RNAcentral